This is a long non-coding RNA of Aegilops tauschii subsp. strangulata, 463 nucleotides long. RefSeq lists it as uncharacterized. The record is from RefSeq and is a predicted model, not a curated record. Lineage: Eukaryota; Viridiplantae; Streptophyta; Magnoliopsida; Poales; Poaceae.
UAUGCACCACGAUCCACAGCCCAAUUAACCAAUCUCAGUCAACUCUCGUGCCUCGCCUCUCGCCUCUCCUCCCUGACUUGCUCCUCCCAAACCCUAUCAGCCGCCACCCGCUCUGGCACUGGCCACUCCCGCGUUUCUCCCUUUACUGCUCCGCCUCUACCUCACCCCCGCUUGUACUCUGCAAGGGCGACUGGGUGGUGCCCGCGGACACAACCCUCGCGAUCCACUAUGGUUGACCUCGAACGACAGCGCCCCUCCCCUGACCUCAACCUCCAGUGGCGGCGUCCACCAUAUCUAGCGCCGGCGGCUCCUCCAGAUUUAGCGUCGACACAGCUGUGCCUUGCCUACAGAAUUGAGCAGAAAGAAAGGAAUAGAAGUUUUUGUUUAGUUUAUGACAGCGAAAGACUACGAGAUCGACGCCGCUGCUGGUGCCCCGACCGACUACGCUGUUGACGACCCCUCC